CGUGUAGGCUGCUCGGAAAGUCGGAUGUGAAGGCCCUGGGCUCAACCUAGGAAGUGCAUUCGAAACUUCCGAGCUGGAGUGCUGGAGAGGAAGGCGGAAUUCUCGGUGUAGAGGUGAAAUUCGUAGAUAUCGAGAGGAACAUCGGUGGCGAAGGCGGCCUUCUGGACAGCGACUGACGCUGAGACGCGAAAGCGUGGGGAGCAAACA
Molecule: ribosomal RNA, 207 nt
Filed under: uncultured delta proteobacterium
Lineage: Bacteria; Deltaproteobacteria
Description: partial 16S ribosomal RNA
Rfam family: Bacterial small subunit ribosomal RNA
Source: RNAcentral